UCUAUCACCCAUUUCCCGAAAUUUGCAUUGAUUGGAGGAGCGGGUUUGCUUGAUUACGGGGCGGACUCCAACUUUCCAUAAUUAGACUGCAGUGAGACACGGAAGCCCUUUCGCUUCCUUCCGUUCCACCACUGACCGGGGGUUGUGUUGUUGAUGUCGGGGAGGACACUCUAGCUGGUGCUUCUCGCUGUAAGCGAGUGCGUUGACUCGUACAGUCUCUCCUGCUGUAAUUGCUCGUGGCUCGGCUUGUGGCUGGAGCACUGAAGUCCUCCGAGUAGUGCGCGAAGCGUGUGCAAGCUUCUGCUACGGAGAUCUUUGCGCCAUCACGAUUCAGAUUGAGGCUACGUGCGCAGUAUAACCACUCGGGCGGGGAGUGACCAGCAACUAGGGUGACUCCGCGGCAUCACAGGCUGCUGCUCUGUUUGGGAACAUAGUCCCCUUUUUGGGUUACUGUUUCCACUGGCUCGAUAGGUCGUGGGCUACUGUGGUCGGGUUCUAUCGACGCAGGCAGACCCCCAGCAACGCGCAAUAUCACCUGCUGACUACCUGCACUCGCGGCAACACCGCUGACCGCAUAGGCUAUUUUGUGUUUGAGUUUUGAUUUGAUUUAUUUUGUGGUUGCAUAGGUGGCAAUGUGCAACACCCCUAUUUUGUGAUUAUUUUGUGGACGUGGGGGAUUCGUGAGAGGCAUACCCCUCGCCUGUUUCUGCCAUAUUAUUUCUGUUUUCUUAUCAAAUUUAACUGAAGACAUUCUGUGUUCUUUUGUUUUUGUUUCUUUUGGUUUGGGUUGAUUAAUUUUGUGGGACCUGACCUGACUGGGUCUUCUGAGGUCUGUUCCUCAAAUUGCAGCAGCCUAACUGCAUUGGGGGGACUGGCUUCUCCAGUCCCAGUGGGUCUCUGUCUGACUGUCUGUCUGUGUGUGUGUGUGUGUGUGGUGUGUCUGUGUGUGUGUGAGCGUGUGUGUUCAGUGGUGGUUACUUAACAUCUGUCUACUGUAUCCCUUCAACCAGGGUGGCUGCACUCCUUCGGCGCAGUGUCUCCUCGAGCAGCAUUGACAUAGCAAAGUUAAGUAGAGUGGAAUGCAUUAGUCUGUACUGAAUUGACAUAGCCUAUACCCUGUACUCGAUCCUGUGUCUCAAGCCCCUUUUCUCUCUUCUAUAUUUUGGACAGGUGUGGUCGGAGCGAGGCAACCGGCAGGCAGACCUUGGUGGUGGACCCCUCUUCACUUUCUUUGCUGUGCCGCACGACGGGUGUUUAUCUUAUUAUUUUUGUGUGUUUUGUGUUUUUUUAUUAUUCCUUCACGAGUGGUGUAUAUUCUGGGACUUCCUCUUCUCUCGCUCUACUGCCCGAGCAGCAGCCUGAAGGCCAACCCCUGGGUCCUGGUCGCUAGACGUUUAGCUAUCUUCUAAAUUGUAGGCCCCUUUGCGUCGUUAGAAUGGAGGACGACAUGCAACAGCUCAGAGAGGAGUUGGAGCGCCUAAGGGCGGACAACGAGCAAUUGCGGCAGGAGCGGGCUCCCCGGCAGGGUGGCUGCACUCCUUCGGCGCAGUGUCUCCUCGAGCAGCAUUGACAUAGCAAAGUUAAGUAGAGUGGAAUGCAUUAGUCUGUACUGAAUUGACAUAGCCUAUACACUGUACUCGAUCCUGUGUCUCAAGCCCCUUUUCUCUCUUCUAUAUUUUGGACAGGUGUGGUCGGAGCGAGGCAACCGGCAGGCAGACCUUGGUGGUGGACCCCUCUUCACUUUCUUUGCUGUGCCGCACGACGGGUGUUUAUCUUAUUAUUUUUGUGUGUUUUGUGUUUUUUUAUUAUUCCUUCACGAGUGGUGUAUAUUCUGGGACUUCCUCUUCUCUCGCUCUACUGCCCGGUAAGCCUAUGCCCCACCCCCAGUUAGUUCUAUAACAUUUACAUAGGCUUCUCUCCAGUGUGGCUAUCAG
Long non-coding RNA from Engraulis encrasicolus (European anchovy), 1934 nucleotides. RefSeq lists it as uncharacterized. The transcript has 6 exons. The record is from RefSeq and is a predicted model, not a curated record. NCBI's taxonomy places the organism in Eukaryota, Metazoa, Chordata, Actinopteri, Clupeiformes, Engraulidae.